This 1101-nucleotide long non-coding RNA is filed under the name Sinocyclocheilus grahami. Its description in RNAcentral is "lncRNA (ENSSGRG00000033799.1)". The record is from RNAcentral. Lineage: Eukaryota; Metazoa; Chordata; Actinopteri; Cypriniformes; Cyprinidae.
GUUAUUUCUGAUUGCAGCUGGCAAGCAUUGCCGGGCUGUGACAAGCGCUGAGAUAUUAAGGCUGAAGCAUAAUUGCAUUCCUUGAUAAAAACAACAUGUCACAAGCACAACUCUUUUAAAGAGGAAACUAAUUUAGAGCCACGUCUAUUAGCAUUCCGUGUCGGUUGAAGCCCCUCUCGCCGAUAUCUGAUUAAAUGCUGCAGAAUCGCUCAAGUGAGAGAAGCCCCUUUCUCUCCCCCCGACCCACUGACCACUCUCUCAAACCUGCGAUCGGUUGCUCAGGUAAUGAUGCACAUGCAGUUUUGAGAUUAAAUGUUAUUAAAUUCAGUCAUGUAUGUCUGACCGACGCUCUCGAAAAGAAGAAAAGUUCAAGACUUGAUCGCCUUGUGUGGUUUUGAAUACUUUGGCACUUUUGGUGUUGGAGAACCAAGAGCCAGCAAAUUCCUCAACAGAAGCUACAAACAAACAGACGUCUGGAGUCCCUCAGGGGGGUCCAAAUGUCCACCCUCACUCCCAACCUCACCCCCCAUCAGGACCUGAAUCUGACUGGCUAAUUGAGGAUCUCGUGCGAAAGCAGAGGGCAGUGGGCCUGUUUACUUCUGGGAAGAGUCAUCUGUCUCUCUGGGCCAACAACUGCAUGUUGAGCUACACAUCAUGUCUGCUUGGUAACCGCCCAACAGAUGCAGAGGCUAAGUGCGGUAAUGAAAUAAUACUGCCAGACAUCAUGUCCAUGGUUUCCAUUAUUGUUAAAGAUUCUGGUUGCCCAAUAGCACCACUUAGGUAAUUUGUUUCUGUGUAUAAUCCUGUUGGCUGCUAUUAAAUUAAACUAACUGGUCAUUUGGGUUUGGGGGACUAUAAAUAAAUCCUGUUGCCACCAGGCACGGGCAGUAUGUGUUGUGUCUCAUUUGAUAAAGGGGAUGCACUUUAUAAUUUAAUCUCAAAAAUUGUGACCUCGCUGGGUCGGCCACCAUCAGAUGAUCCCAAAUAAUGGCUAAAGUAGUUCAUUACUGUCACUAAUGUAGUCACAGUCUCACUCAUAUCCAUAACCAGUGAUUUUUUUUCUCUCUCUUUUAUACUAGAAAAUCUAAAUCAUAAUCAGGC